UCCAAUAUAUUGUCUAAUAAGUAUUAUUGUCACAUUGUUUUGUUAUUAUAUGUUAUGUCAUUUAUGUAUCUUCUUAAGAUUUAACAAAUUUUUUAAACAAUGUAUAGGUGAACUCUUCUAUUUUACAAAAUAUUGUCCUACUGAUUAUAACUUUACCUGGAAAUAUAUCCAACUAAUCAUAAGGAAUAACUUGAGGAAAAAACUCACUCUGAAAGAGUUUCUAUGCCCACUGCACUGAGAACUUCUUCAGAGGCUGGUCACACCCUAUGCAGGAGAAGGUUCCACUCAAAAAACAGCCUGCACAUGAAGGCCCCUGCUCAGCUGCUGGGGCUCCUGCUGCUCUGGCUCCCAGGUGCCCAUUGUGAUGUCCAGUUGACUCAGUCACCAUCCCUGCCUGCAUCUCUGGGAGAGAGAGUCACCAUCACUUGCAAAGCCAGUCAGAUCAUUAGCAAUUAUUUACAUUAGUAGCAGCAGAGAGCAGGGAAAGCUCCAAAGCUCCUGAUCUAUUUUGCACCUACUUGGCAAUCUGGGGUCCCAUGGAGGUUCAAUGGAAGUGGAUCUGGCACAGAGUUCACUCUCAGCAUCAGCAGCCUGCAGCCUGAAGAUUUUGCCACUUACUAUUGUCAGCAGGGUAAUUAUUUACCUACCCCUGUGACACCAGUCAUAACCAAAACCUCCCAGGAAAGCAGAAGUGAGAGGCUGGGCUGCCCAGAUGCUUACCCUGGUGCUUCGAACUGCUGACAGAACAUCUCAGAUGCAGCCCCCAUUUUUAAGGUCACUGGAAAGGAUUGGGAGAUAGGUUCUGAAGUCAAUUGCAGACCUUAACUGUCUGUCCUCCUGCUCAUCCCAAGCAGCACACACCUGACACUGCCUCUUCUGUGACUUACAAAGAACACUGCUCUGUACUCAUGUAUGGUCUAGUCUGUCCUACAAUUCUGCAGUCAGUCAAUAACGAAGCCAUUCUAGA
Dipodomys ordii (Ord's kangaroo rat) is the source of this 967-nucleotide non-coding RNA. NCBI's taxonomy places the organism in Eukaryota, Metazoa, Chordata, Mammalia, Rodentia, Heteromyidae. The record is from the annotation of a RefSeq genome assembly.